CGUUUCCUUCCCAGGAGAAGUACACACUCCUGAGUGUACUGAGCCACAUCGGUGCCCGGGCUACAUCAGGACAUUACAUCAGUGAGGGGGCCUAUCCGGAAGAGGGCAACAACCUGGCUGACCAAUGGCUGCGCUACAAUGACCUGAAGGUGUCACGGACCACCGGCAGGGCCGUCUGUCGCCGGCGGCAACGCACGGCCUACCUGCUGUUCUACCAGCGACAGGUGUAGAACAGUCUGGGGUCUGGGUGGGGGGUGGGGGAAGGGCCCUCUGGUCUUGGGUGGGUGGGAUGUUGAGGAGCAGACCAACAUCCCAUCCCAGAGUCCCAGAGCCCCCUGAGACCACCCCGAGACCACGCUGAGCCCCCCCAGGAGCGAUGGAGGCCCAGACUCAGUGGUCUCCUCCACCCAGGCAGCCCCAGCCCUCAGCUCCUGCUGCAGCAGAUUCCCCUCGCCGAGUUUGCUUCAUUGCAACGGGGAAAACUGGGGCAGAAGUUGGCCGGAGGAAAGAACCAUUGGUGUGGUCAGCAGCUCAGUACAAUCACCAGACCGACGGCCACCCCCCUUCGAGGUGGCCCAGGUACGCGCCCCACCGAGGCAGGGGAGCUCCAGGAGGGUAGAGCUGCUGCCCUGAGGUAGGUGCAGGCGUGUGUGUGUCUGUGUGUGUAGGACGCCCAUGAGUUCCUGACCGCUGUGCUGGACCAGUUGAGUGGUCUGUCCCUCCUGCUAAAGCCAGCCGCUCUGGGCAUGGUGGGAAGGACCUACUCCUGCCCUGUGGAGGCUCACCUGCUCUUCAACAUGAGGAGAACCAG
Molecule: long non-coding RNA, 811 nt
Organism: Gadus macrocephalus (Pacific cod)
Lineage: Eukaryota; Metazoa; Chordata; Actinopteri; Gadiformes; Gadidae
Exons: 5
Source: RefSeq, a predicted model, not a curated record